GAUCCUGGCUCAGGAUGAACGCUAGCUACAGGCUUAACACAUGCAAGUCGAGGGGAAACGAUAUUGGAAGCUUGCUUCCGAUAGGGGUCGACCGGCGCACGGGUGAGUAACGCGUAUCCUACCUGCCCAUCACUUGGGAAUAACCUUGCGAAAGUAAGACUAAUGUCCAAUGACAUUUAUAGAAGGCAUCUGAAAUGAAUUAAAGAUUUAUCGGUGAUGGAUGGGGAUGCGU
This 232-nucleotide ribosomal RNA is filed under the name uncultured bacterium. RNAcentral's name for it is "partial 16S ribosomal RNA". It matches the Rfam family "Bacterial small subunit ribosomal RNA", at positions 15 to 236 of the family's 1533-position model. The record is from RNAcentral.